This 253-nucleotide ribosomal RNA is filed under the name uncultured bacterium. RNAcentral's name for it is "partial 16S ribosomal RNA". It matches the Rfam family "Bacterial small subunit ribosomal RNA", at positions 524 to 776 of the family's 1533-position model. The record is from RNAcentral.
UACGUAGGGUGCAAGCGUUAAUCGGAAUUACUGGGCGUAAAGCGUGCGCAGGCGGUUUCUUAAGUCAGAUGUGAAAGCCCCGGGCUUAACCUGGGAACCGCGUUUGAAACUGGGAGACUUGAGUGUGGCAGAGGGGGGUGGAAUUCCACGUGUAGCAGUGAAAUGCGUAGAUAUGUGGAGGAACACCGAUGGCGAAGGCAGCCCCCUGGGUUAACACUGACGCUCAUGCACGAAAGCGUGGGGAGCAAACAGG